Molecule: long non-coding RNA, 318 nt
Filed under: Lathyrus oleraceus (garden pea)
Lineage: Eukaryota; Viridiplantae; Streptophyta; Magnoliopsida; Fabales; Fabaceae
Description: Pisum sativum (pea) long non-coding RNA (PSAT_LNC037508)
Source: RNAcentral
GAACUCUGUUAGCUCUUCUCUCACUAUCUUUUUCCUCAGGGUAAUAGGAAUAGAAUCCAAUAUUUGUUUCACUGAAACUCUAGUAUUUAUAGCCUAAUAUUGGUAGCUUAGUGGGCUUUUGAGAGAGGUCCAAGUCUGAGAUUUUUUCCUUUAUUUAUUUAUUUAUUUAUUAUUAUUUUUUUAUAUUUUAAAUAAAGUUUCUUGGAUCUAAUUCUGAUUGACAUGAUGAAAUGCAAUGUAUCUAAUGUUAAAUAACCUAAAAAUGAAUGCAUGCAUGAGGUGUAAAGCGUAUGCUUCCAGGAAAAAUGAAGGGUAAAU